AUUUAUAUAAUAUAAAAAUUAUAAUUGACUUCCAAUCAAUAAAUCUAGGUAUUCUAGUAUAAAUA
This 65-nucleotide transfer RNA is filed under the name Curculionidae sp. MT-2014. Its description in RNAcentral is "tRNA-Gly". Lineage: Eukaryota; Metazoa; Arthropoda; Insecta; Coleoptera; Curculionidae. The record is from RNAcentral.